GCAGGGAUGCAGCUACAGAGAGUCCAGACAGCAACUCCCACCCUGCAGAGACAGCCUACAGCUCAGGGAAGUAAGGGAUGGGGGGAAAGGCUGCAAGGAGACAUACACUGAGACACUAAGGGACAUUGGGAGACAUGACACAGACACAUGCGGACACAGUGACCUUAUGUCUCCCAGCCAGUGUCCCUGGUGUCUCAGUGCCCCCUAGUCUCCCAGUCUGCCAGUGUCUCACUGUCCCCAUGUCUCCUAGUGCUUCCAUGUCUCUCAGUGCCUCAAGUGUCACAAUGUCCCUAUGUCUCCAAGCUAAUGUCCCUAGUGUCUGUGGCCCUGGUGUCUCAGUGUCCCCAUGUCUCAAUGUCCCCAUGUCCCCAAGUCAGUGUCUCUAGUGUCUGUGUCCCUGGUGUCUGUGUCCCCAUGUCUUCAAGUGUCCCCUAUUUUCCCAUUGUCCCAAUUUGUCCCAGCCAGAGUCCCCUAGUCUCCCAGUGUCACUGGUGUCUCCGUGUCCGUAGGUCUCCC
Non-coding RNA from Pelobates cultripes (western spadefoot toad), 516 nucleotides. The record is from the annotation of a GenBank genome assembly. NCBI's taxonomy places the organism in Eukaryota, Metazoa, Chordata, Amphibia, Anura, Pelobatidae.